GGUGGCUCAGUGGUAGAGUGCUUGCCUUGUAAGCCAGAGGUCCUGGGUUCGAUUCCUCAGCACCA
Molecule: non-coding RNA, 65 nt
Organism: Dipodomys ordii (Ord's kangaroo rat)
Lineage: Eukaryota; Metazoa; Chordata; Mammalia; Rodentia; Heteromyidae
Source: Rfam